GAUGAACGCUGGCGGCGUGCCUAAUACAUGCAAGUCGAGCGAACGGACGAGAAGCUUGCUUUUCUGAUGUUAGCGGCGGACGGGUGAGUAACACGUGGAGAACCUACCUAUAAGACUGGGAUAACUUCGGGAAACCGGAGCUAAUACCGGAUAAAAUUUUGAACCGCAUGGUUCAAAAGUGAAAGACGGUCUUGCUGUCACUUAUAGAUGGAUCCGCGCUGCAUUAGCUAGUUGGUAAGGUAACGGCUUACCAAGGCAACGAUGCAUAGCCGACCUGAGAGGGUGAUCGCCCACACUGGAACUGAGACACGGUCCAGACUCCUACGGGAGGCAGCAGUAGGGAAUCUUCCGCAAUGGGCGAAAGCCUGACGGAGCAACGCCGCGUGAGUGAUGAAGGUCUUCGGAUCGUAAAACUCUGUUAUUAGGGAAGACCAUAUGUGUAAGUAACUGUGCACAUCUUGACGGUACCUACUCAGAAAGCCACGGCUAACUACGUG
This 497-nucleotide ribosomal RNA is filed under the name uncultured bacterium. Its description in RNAcentral is "partial 16S ribosomal RNA". It matches the Rfam family "Bacterial small subunit ribosomal RNA", at positions 28 to 507 of the family's 1533-position model. The record is from RNAcentral.